This is a regulatory RNA element of Pseudomonas sp. StFLB209, 56 nucleotides long. NCBI's taxonomy places the organism in Bacteria, Pseudomonadati, Pseudomonadota, Gammaproteobacteria, Pseudomonadales, Pseudomonadaceae. The record is from Rfam.
UGCCAGGCAUGGAUGCCUGGCAAGCGCUGCUGUGCCAUGGAGGGCACAUCAGCGCG